Molecule: unclassified non-coding RNA, 305 nt
Filed under: Hevea brasiliensis (rubber tree)
Lineage: Eukaryota; Viridiplantae; Streptophyta; Magnoliopsida; Malpighiales; Euphorbiaceae
Source: RNAcentral
GGAAGUGUGAUCAAAUCAACCAUCACUUCUGCAUUUUUAUUUGCAUAUUAUAAAUAUACAAGUGCACAUUCAAUCAAGAAAAAAGGGAACAAAAAGAAUACAUAUGACAAAAGCUCAUGCACAAGUUGACUUCCACCCAACUUAAACUAUCCUCCAUUUGUAGUUUCUAAAUUGGUGCAGGAAUUGCAAGUAUACUUGCAUUGUUGUCAGCUAGCAUGAUAUUUCCAUACUUGGUACACCAUAUAGAAAAUGAGGAGAAAAGACAGUAAGCAAGAAGGAACAGAUUGUUUCAUAGUUCAAAAUAA